GACGAACGCUGGCGGCGUGCUUAACACAUGCAAGUCGAACGGAAAGGCCCAGCUUGCUGGGUACUCGAGUGGCGAACGGGUGAGUAACACGUGGGUGAUCUGCCCUGCACUCUGGGAUAAGCCUGGGAAACUGGGUCUAAUACCGGAUAUGACCGACUGUCGCAUGGUGGUUGGUGGAAAGCUUUUGCGGUGUGGGAUGGGCCCGCGGCCUAUCAGCUUGUUGGUGGGGUAAUGGCCUACCAAGGCGACGACGGGUAGCCGACCUGAGAGGGUGAUCGGCCACACUGGGACUGAGACACGGCCCAGACUCCUACGGGAGGCAGCAGUGGGGAAUAUUGCACAAUGGGCGCAAGCCUGAUGCAGAGACGCCGCGUGAGGGAUGACGGCCUUCGGGUUGUAAACCUCUUUCACCAGGGACGAAGCGUGAGUGACGGUACCUGGAGAAGAAGCACCGGCCAACUACGUG
RNAcentral lists this ribosomal RNA (466 nucleotides) under uncultured bacterium. RNAcentral's name for it is "partial 16S ribosomal RNA". It matches the Rfam family "Bacterial small subunit ribosomal RNA", at positions 28 to 507 of the family's 1533-position model. The record is from RNAcentral.